Molecule: long non-coding RNA, 2566 nt
Filed under: Podarcis lilfordi (Lilford's wall lizard)
Lineage: Eukaryota; Metazoa; Chordata; Lepidosauria; Squamata; Lacertidae
Source: RNAcentral
GGGCUGCCCAAGUGGGGCUUUGUCUUAACGUCCUACUUGGACACACUCAACCCAGACUUCACCAACCUGGUGCCCUCCAGAUCUUUUGGACUACAGUUCCCAUCAGCAUCAGCUGCUACCAGUAACUGGCUAGGACUGGUUUUUAUUUACUUACUGCACUUUUAUACCACCUUUCCUCCAAGGAGCUCGAGGUGGUGCACAUAGUUCUUCUCCUGGCCCUUUUUAUCCUCCCAACAACACUGUGAGGUAGGUUAGGCUGAGAGUGUGUGACUGGCCCAAGGUCACCCAGUGAGAUUCAUGGUUGAAUAUCAAUCAAUCUUUAUUACGGUCCAGAGAUCCAACAAAUCGUUACAAAGCAAUGCACAAUUCAGACAGCCUUCCUCCAGGUUAAACAAACAUUUUGUUCAGACUUAAAGAUAGGGAUCAUUGGUUCUUGCAACCACCGAUAAAAACUUUGCCACUGCUAAUGUUCUAGUGUUUGUCUGGUCUUCCAAUAGGAACCUGACAUAGUGAGCCUCUGAUUUUCCCGGGAAAGGUACCAGUAAGGGCAAUAUCAGUUCAGCCCUGGCUUGCUUGUAUUUCGCACAGUGCAGCAAAAUAUGUUUUAUAGUUUGCUCACUAUGUCAGGUUCCUAUUGGAAGACCGGACAAAUGCUAGAACAUUAGCAGUGGCAAAAUUUUUAUCGGUGGUUGCAAGAACCAGUGAUCCCUAUAUUCUGAACAAAAUGCUUGUUUAACCUGGAGGUGGGCUGUAUGAAUUGUGUAUUGCUUUGUAAUAAUUUGUUGGGUCUCUGGACCGUAAUAAAGAUUGUUGUUGUUGUUGUUGUUGUUUUGUAGAAUCUAUGUCUUGGGCACACGAGCAAAGUCUGUCCUGGUAGAGGACUCCUCUCCACCUGCCAGAAGGAAAACUGCAGAAGGAAAGACGUUUAGUCUGGCUUUGGUGAAAAGCCUUCGAUAGUUUGGUACAGUCAGGUUUUUAACGUAAGAUGUUAACUUAAAGACAUGCCCAUAUUGUACUCCUACUGCCAGCGGACUACAGACUGCGUGUGAUCGAGAUCGCAAGUCACUGUGUGUAUUAUCCCAUAGUCUUUGCUUUAACGUCUUUAGGGCGCCUUCAUAACCCAGGUAAUAAAGUUGGGGGGGGGGGGUGACAGACCAAUAGAGGUGGCUUUUCUAGCCAUGGUUUUCUGCCAUUUGCUGACAGACUCCUCAUUGGUUAGGUGUUGAUACAAACCCUCAUGGCUGAAUAAGCAUUAGAACCCUGGUCUCCCAUGUCACAGUCUGACACUCUAACCCAGGGGUAGUCAACCUUUUUAUACCUACCACCCACUAAUGCAUCUUUCUUGAUGGUAAAAUUUCAUUACCGCCCACCAGCGCUCGAUGGAAGGAGGAUUCAGCUUGUGCCGUAGAACCCCCUACCACCCACAUAGAAUCCUGAAACGCCCACUAGUGGGCGGUAGGGACCAGGCUGACAACCCCUGCUCUAACCACUACACCACACUGGCUCUCAAAACUGGCUCUCGCUGGAGGGCAUCAGGUUGGCCAAGGCUGCUUUAGCCCCAUGCUAUGCUCUAACCAUUAGUCUCCCGCUUUCACUGUUGUUUAUCUCCAGUAUCUGGUAUUCAGAGGAAUAUUGAACAGGAGGCUCCAACAUAGAGGCUUAUAACUGUUUAUUGUUCUGUCUGUCUUCAGUAUAAAGAUGCACAAAAGUGUGGCUAAUUAAUAUUAGUAAUAGUGGUAGUAAUAAUAAUAAUAACAAUAAUUAUUGCUUAUGGGUGAUGAGCUGAAGAGGCCCUCAUAAUUUUUCACUUUCAGCCCCUAGACCUCAGCAAAAAUAAACAUUUAUGGGGCCAUGGACACACUUGGAAAUUUGAGAAAAUAUCCUAGCUAACAAAAAAUUACUGCCAUGUUGGGACCACCCUCCAGCUUCCCCAAAGCAAUUCCUGUUGGUUUAACUCCCAGGCUAACCACUAGACGGCACUGUCUCUCCACUUGGACUGGAGCAUUCUGGUGCUAUGUUGCUAAACGUGGCAGACAAUGUGGUCUAGUGAUUUGAUCCUUGGGCUGCUUAAACACAUCACUUGCAUCUUGGAGGGAGCUGGGGUAAAUCAUGGUCCCACAGCAGUUUUCUACUCAGGUUAACUUGACUGUAAUGCCAGAAGGGUAUUAUAAGGAAGCCCUGUAUAGGGAAGUUGUUAAUGUUUGAUGUCUUGCUGUGUUUGAUGUUUUCAUUUGCUGGAAGCUGCUCAGAUGAUGGAUAUUAUUACUAUUAUUACUGCCAUAAUUUGAACAUAUUUUGUCAAAAUAAAGACUUUUUUCAUAUAUUCUUUAGUUGUUAUGUGUGGAUUUCUUAACUCUUGACUCCUUCAUUAUGGGAAAUGAAAAUCAAGAUACCUCAACUUACGGUACAUGCGUACAAUGUCACUCCGUUCUACUAUAAUGUAAGUAUUGUGUCUCAUGCUAUUGAAAGAUCUAUGAAUUAUUUUUAGGUAUACCUGAAAGGAUGCUGGAAGAUGCUCUCCAUUAGAUAAUGCUAUCUCUUGAUGACAGUACACUGAAUUUCCUGG